Long non-coding RNA from Vicia villosa (hairy vetch), 418 nucleotides. RefSeq lists it as uncharacterized. Lineage: Eukaryota; Viridiplantae; Streptophyta; Magnoliopsida; Fabales; Fabaceae. The record is from RefSeq and is a predicted model, not a curated record. The transcript is spliced from 2 exons.
AUUUGAAAAAAUAUUUUUUAAGAAAAAUCAUCAUGAAGAUAGGUUGCAUUCUCAUAUUCUUAUGUACUUUCUUCUUCUUCAACCUUACGUUCGGAUCAGUAAGCACCGAAGCGAAUCAAUCCUUUUGUCCGCGUCACUUGGACUUGCCAGGCAAAUGUAGCGAUUCUCGCAGUUGCGGUCAAGAUUUGAAUGCUGCAUUUGGAGCAAGCGCCAUGGUUCAAGACUGUAUUUGUGAAGAUCUUCCCAACAAUAUGCACCGUUGCACAUGUUGCUGCAAAUGUCAAGUAGUGAAAGAUAGAAAGACACUAUUUCUUGCAAGCAUGUUUGUUGAUGGUCAACUAAAAUGUAAUUAAAUCUAAAGUUUCAUGUUAUAAUUAAUAAUUACAUCACAUUCCAAUAUAUGUGUUUUUAUUUUUAA